AUACGGAGGGUGCAAGCGUUAUCCGGAUUUAUUAGGUUGAAAGGGUCCGCAGGCGGGCCUAUAAGUCAGUGGUGAAAUCCUGCAGCUUAACUGUAGAACUGCCAUUGAUACUGUAGGCCUUGAGUUCAGACGAGGUAGGCGGAAUAUAUAGUGUAGCGGUGAAAUGCUUAGAUACUAUAUAGAACACCGAUUGCGAAGGCAGCUUACUAGACUGUAACUGACGCUCAUGGACGAAAGCGUGGGGAGCGAACAGGAUUAGAUACCCCGGUAGUCC
This 274-nucleotide ribosomal RNA is filed under the name uncultured bacterium. RNAcentral describes it as "partial 16S ribosomal RNA". It matches the Rfam family "Bacterial small subunit ribosomal RNA", at positions 523 to 796 of the family's 1533-position model. The record is from RNAcentral.